This is an unclassified non-coding RNA of Otolemur garnettii (small-eared galago), 429 nucleotides long. Its record names the gene Telomerase-vert. It matches the Rfam family "Vertebrate telomerase RNA". From Rfam's summary of the family: Telomerase is a ribonucleoprotein reverse transcriptase that synthesises telomeric DNA. Telomerase RNAs differ greatly in sequence and structure between vertebrates, ciliates and yeasts, but they share a 5' pseudoknot structure close to the template sequence. The record is from Ensembl. NCBI's taxonomy places the organism in Eukaryota, Metazoa, Chordata, Mammalia, Primates, Galagidae.
AGGGCCGGGAGGGGCGGCCAUCUUCUUCCUAACCCUAAGUGAGAAAGGCAUAGGCGCCGCGCUUUUGGUCCCCGCGCGCUGUUUUUCUCGCUGACUUUCAGCGCGCGGAAAAGCCUUGGCCUACUGCCGUCCACCGUCCAGUCUUGAGCAAACAAAAAAUGUCAGCCGCUGGCCGAGCACCCCUCCCGGGACCUGCGGCAGCCCGUCCGCCCGCCCGGCCCCCGAGCCCUGCCUGGAGGCCGCGGCCAGCCCGGGGCUUCUCCGGAAGCACCCAUUGCGGCCGCGAAGAGUUGGGCUCUGUCAGCCGCGGGACCCUCGGGGGCCAGGGCGAGGCCCGGGCCUGCGGCCGCAGGGAGAGUAACAGAGCGGGUCCCGCGCGGCGCGCGCCCCUGAGCAGUGGGACGAGCGCCCGGACCCGCUCGCACACGC